This 9625-nucleotide long non-coding RNA is filed under the name Lupinus angustifolius (narrow-leaved blue lupine). Its description in RNAcentral is "long non-coding RNA (LANG_LNC001827)". The record is from RNAcentral. Lineage: Eukaryota; Viridiplantae; Streptophyta; Magnoliopsida; Fabales; Fabaceae.
CAUUUCAAAGAACAAAGCAUAACUUUCCCUCACUUUUUCCCAAGAUGGAAAUUUUUUCCAACUUCAGCUCUUCAUGAAUAAAUUGACUCAAAUCCAUUCAUCCCUUCUUCCAAAUCCUUAUACGAUCCUUCACUCAAAUCCAUUGCCACAAAUCCUUCACUCAAAUCCACUAUCGUCUCCAUUCAUGUGGAAAUCCUUCACUCAAAUCAACUAAUCCUUCACUCAAAUCAACUAAUCCAUCACUCAAAUACGGUUAGUUGAUUUCUUUUUUAAUUGAUUUCUUCGUUAGUUGAUUCGUGACUACAUAUGCUUCUCAUUCAAUUCAAACUGUGAAUUAUAGUUAGGAUUAGGGUUUAUUUAGAUUUGUUUCAAAUACGGUUCAUUGAUUUCUUCGUUCUUUUACGAUUUAUUGCCUCAUCUAUUCAACUAAUUCUUCAAUUUUUUAUCCAGCUUCAUCUUUUCAACAACUCAAAUUCUCCAAUUGCUUAAAUCCUUCACUCUUCAACGUUAUUACACAGGUAAGGUAAAUGGAAAUCCAAUUUUACAUUCAUCUUCAAUCUUCAUAGUUGAUACAGUUAGCUUAUGAUGUGUUCUAUGUUCUAUGUGUUCUCUGGUAAUAAUGUUUCUCCAACAAGUGAGACAAUAACUGUUAAUUUAUAGUGCAUAUAUAUGUUAAAUCUAUAUUGUCAAUAUCUCAUUAGCAAUAUCAAAUAUAAAAAUUACAACCUAUUCUUGUCCAAGGACUUUCUGGAUUUACAUUGGUUUGUUUCUCAUUCUUCAAAUCAUCUUGUUAAUUUACAUUUCUCGACAUGUCAGCAUACAGAAUAAGAUAUUAUAACUACAAAAUGAUACUAAUUUGUGCUUAAACCAUGAAUAUGAAUUUAAAGUUGGUUUCCGGAAUUCUGCUCUUACUUUUUUGUAACAAGUGACACAAAGGAUUGAUUCUUUCUUAUGCCUCGGCAAAAGAAAUUAGAUGUGUGUGCUUUGAAAUUAGAUGUCAGCAUACAAAAGGUGUUUUUGGAGGUGCUAUUACAUAGGGAGCUUGAGAAAUUGGAGAAGGUGUUUUUGGAGGUGUUGUUACAUGGGGUGGUUGACAACUUGGAGAAGGUGUUUUUGGAGGUGUUAGCACAUAGGGAGGUUGAGAACUUGGGGAAGAAGUUUGUGGAGAAGUUGGAGUAUUGGGAGGACUAUAUAUUGGUGAAGGUGUUUUUGGAGGUGUUGGAGUACUAUAAGGAGGAUGGGAAAUAGGGGAAGGAGCUUGUGGAGGUGUUGGAGCUUUGUGUGGAGUUAGUACAAUGGGAGGAUGGUAAACAGGAGAAGGAACUUGUGGAGGAUUUGGAACACCAGGGGACUAUAAAUAGGAGAUAUAGAUUUUGGAGGGUGAUAUAUUGGUGAAGGAGUUUGUGGUGGUAUUGGAACCUAAGGAGCUUUUGGUGGUGUUGAAAAAUGAGGAGGAUGAAUAGGAGAAGGAGUUUGUGGAGGUUUUGGGACAUAGGGUGAAGGAGCUUUAGGUGUAGAAGGAACUUGUGGAACACUUGGAGGACUAUAUAUAGGUGAUGGAGCUUUUGGGGGUGUUGGAACACCAGGAGGGGUAUAAAUAGGUGAAGGAGUUUGAGGAGGUUUUGGAACAUAUAGUGGUGGAGCUUUUGGUAUAUUUGGAACAUUUGGAGGACUAUACAAAGGAGCAUUUGGAGGUGUUGGAACAUAAGGAGGUGGAGAUCUCACAGCCAAAACCACAACAAUAAGUUUCUGACCCUUUUCACAAUUAUCAUCUUUUCCACUAAUGAAGUAAUAAGGACCAGAUCUUUCAAUUUGAAACUCAGUGUCACCAUCUUCAAACUUCUUGAUAGAUUUCUCCUUGUUGCCUUUUUCAUAAUCAUCCUUAGUCACUUCCAACACUGAGUUUGAGCCUUUGUUGUACUUGAAAACUAUAACAAGAAAAGCCAAGUCAAAAACAAUCAGAAAAAACCAACAAUCUAGUACCCAAAAAAUGAUGUUUGCAAUGGAAAUUAACCACUUACCUAGUGAGUCACUAACUUGGAACCUACUCCUUCCAGACCAUUGAUUAUAAUCCACAGAAGGGUUCACAACCCAACCAUCUUUUCCACCAAUAGAGAAUUUGUAAGCUUGAGAAAUUGAGAGGAGACUAAAGUGUGUUGGAGAACAUAGAGAACUAAGAAAAAGAAGAUUGGUCCCUUAAGCUUCACGAGGAAAUAAAACCAAGCUGUGAAAGAGUGUUUGUAAUAUUAAUUAGAGGUAUCUAUAUCUAUAUUCUAUAUAGUUUAUAGUGUACAUAUAGUGGCAUAAGACAGAGAGUAGAGAGUGUGUGAAAGAAAUUUAUGGUAUGCAAACAAAGGUUGAAAAUUUUAUAUGAUAAUUGAGCUAAGGAAAGUAAAGCCAAAUAAUUUAUUAUCAAAGAGAUUAUUGAGAUAUAAAGGGAAACUUUCCUAGGUUACCCUUGUAUUAAUGAACUUGUCCUAAAGUAUGUCCUAAAUCAUGUUCCACACCAAUAAUGUUGAUGUAAAAAACUAAUGAAUAUUUAACUUUCUAAUUAACAUGACAUAUUUUCAUUGGUAUGAGAUAUGAUUUGAACAUGUUUUAGAACAAUAGUUAUUUAUAAUAAGAAAUAAUCCAUGAUCUAACCCCACCAUUUAAUUAUAAGGUUUUCAUUGUGAAAAGGCAGUUCAUAAAGCCUUCCCCUCAGGGCAGGUUAUGAACACAUUAAAGUUGCAGCACACGAGUGGCAUGAUGUCAUAUUCACAUUCUCAUUCUUACCUUAUAAGUAGUAUAUAGUUUUAUAUAUGCACUCCAUUAUUGUUAAAUUAUCAUUAUAUGAUUUUCUUAUGAUGAAUUUCAUAUAUCAUAUGAUAAAUUUGGUGGACCAUAUGUAAAAUAAUGAAGAAAAUAAUGUCACCAUGGACACUAUGCCCAAUAGCAGUGAAAACAAGAAAGUAAAAGAAAAAAAGGUGUGCAAUUGAUUAAUCAUGUAUUAAUCCAUAUUAACUUGAAAAUAAAAAUUAUAAACAUGAGUGGUUUACCUUAAAUCUAAUGCCCCACAAGUUAAAUAGUACAAGGCAAAACAAUUUAAGGGUGGAUCUGAAAUCCUUAUUCCAUUCCUUUUUCUUUUCUGCAUAUUUGUUAAACUCAAUAGUUCCUCCCUUUAAAAAAAUUGCUACCUUUUUUUCCUUCCAAGUAUAUGAAUUUCCACUAUUUAAAUGUGAAUUAUGAUUUUUUUUGGAUAUAAUAUAAAUCACCUUUGAUUGGAUCUAAAUCACGCACAUUCCUACUUUUGGAUUGUAUAUAUAUAUCUUAAGCACUGUUGAAAGAUAGAUUCGAGAGGUUGUUUCCCCUCCCAACAGAUCGUCCCUUAGCAAGGUGCCAAUCUGUUGAGAGGGUUAUUUCUCUCUCAUUUUCGGUAUUUUCUUUUUUAUUUGAUUAAGUAAGUGAACUUGGUUUUAUUCUAUGUUCGCCAUCUCAGUUUUAUUCUCUGUCGAACCACAAGGAAUUGCCUAAUAGAAUGAAUCAUAUGAAUAUGUCAAAGCACAAAUAAUGAGUUAAACUUAUUUUGGUGGUUUUUGUUUCGAAUUGCACAUAAACAAUUAACAAGAAGCAUAAACUAAAUAUUAACAAAUUCUGGAGGAGACAAGAUCAUUUUGAAUAAGGAAUAUAUUUCUUAACUUCUUAUGAGUUUGAACUACUUAGACAAGUUCUUAUGUUUUACUUUGAUUAACUCCAAACACCAAGUUCUAAAAUCCUUCUUUUAGUGUAUGUCCUAAAAUGGUAAAAUGAUAAUCACUUAUAUUUAUUACUAAACAAUAUUACUUCCAUAAAGAGACUAGGUUGUCAUACCCUAGUCAUUGGCGACUCUAAUAUUGAAAUAGUAAUGAAUAUAAGAUCUUAAGAAAAGUAUGCUUAACUUGGCAAAUAAACUAAGUAGUACAACUACUUCUUAGUUUUUUUGUUAAGUGUUUGAGACAAGUAAUUUUUAUGACUUGAAAUCAUUUUUUAGGUGAUCAAUCUAAAAAGAGCAUUAAGUACUUCUCAAACAAAUAAAAUUAACCAAAGCACCAACUUGAAUGAUUAAAAUUCAAACUUUUAUAUAGUAUAAGAAGAAGUAGAAAUACAUAACAUAUUCAAAAGAAAUUAUUAGGAGCAUGAGUCAUCCAUCCAAGGAUUGGAUGUUUUGAGUUCGAAAUGAGAUUACAAAAUUGAUUUUUGCAUCUCAUUUGCCUACUCCUUUUCUCCUCUUGAAUUACAAACUUACUUAAAAUAAAGCUCUAAAAACUAAGAAAACGAAGAGAGAACUUCAGAGAAAAAUUUAUAGUGAUAGAUAUGUGAAUUUGAUAUGUAAUGGAUUCUGUUUGCUUGAGUGAAAUGCUCCCUAUUUAUAGAAAUUAUUUUUGGACCGCUGAGCUGCUUGGUUGGACCGCUAAGCAGCUGACCAAACUCUUCAGCAUGGGUUUGGUCCAUUGAUCAAGUAGCUUAGUCACCUCCUUAUAUUUGACUCAUCAAAGCAAGUUGUGAUCUAUGAAACCAGCUAUUGUGAGCUACUCUAAAAAGCCUAUGGUGAGCUACUUGAGGUGAGGUCAUUGGUGACUUCAUGGUUUGCUUGAUGGUCAAGUCAAGUCUGGGUGCACACGCUUAGCACACUUGUUGCACCGCUAAGCUGCUUGUUCAGCAGCUUUGACCAUGCUGACUGGGACAUGCCUGGUGCUUGCUGAUAUGGUCAGGAGUCUGGUUCUCCGCUAAGCUGCUUGGUUGGACGCUAAGGUGCUUGUUCAGCAGCUUGGAUAUGUGCCAAGCUUGUGUCUGACCGUGCCAGGACUAGUCUGGUCCUAGGCUGAGCGGCCAAGCAGGUCCACUCAGCUGCUUGCUUGAGCAGCUUUGUCCAGGUCAGGCUGGUGUCCAGGUCAGGCUGGUGUCUAGGUCAGCUUAGCGUGGCUUGGUCCACACUUAGCUGCCUGAUUGAGCACCUUGGUUUUUGAUUUCUUUGUCGUUUUGACCAUGAGUCUCUUUUCUCUCCUUUUCUUCAUUCUAAAUCCUACAAAAUACAUAAAAAAGAAAUACACAUACAAAUUUUACAAGAUUGUGAUAUUUUAUACAAAAAGUAUUGUUUUAAGUUGGUUUUUCUCAAUUAUGCUUAAGAUAAGUGCCAUAAAAGUAUAUGAAAUUUAGGUAUGUUUGGCACUUAUCAAGCACAUGAAUUAUGCAACUUUUGAAUACUGGAACAUGAGGAUUAUGCAUAAGCUAGUCAUUACUCACUAAUAAAUAUUAAAUUGAAAUAAUAGUAAUAUAAGGGUGCAUGGCACGUGAUAGAAAACAAACAUCGUUGGAUUUUGUAUGGAACCUCAUGAUCAAUUUGUUCACUCAAAUGGUAGGUGCUUCUCUUCAUGAUCAAUUUGUUCUUUUGUUUGUUUUUUUAGAUGUAGUUGAAAUAUUAAACUUUGUGAUAGACAUGACUCUCCAUAAUUCUCUUAAUGAGAUAAAUUUGUUUUUAUGCAGGUCAUGGUUCAUGUCACUAUGACUUCAUUUCCUGAUCCCAACUUGAAAUAAAUAGAAGAGCAUUGAGGUAAUACUUAAGCUGUCAUUUAGUAUCUCUAAUGAUUUAGUAAUUGAAUUUAACAUCAAAAACAUAUUCACACAGUUAUGAUCGAUAAGAGUUGGAUUGAGAAACCAAUUAGAUCAAAGGAGUUCUUGGAUGGGGUGGUUUAAUUUUUGGAUUUCGCCUUUUCAAAUGUACCUAUAAAUGAUCAAAUUCCAUGUCCUUGUAUUACAUGUGGAUUUCUUAAAAUGGGUACCAGAAUUGAAGUGUUUAGUCAUCUAAUUCAAAAAGGGUUUCCCAGAAAGUACACAUUUUGGUACAUGCAUGGGGAAAAACAUGUGCAAGAUAAUGUUGAAACUACAGCCUAACCACAAGAAUAGUUGGUUAGACAAUAUCCAAUGCAAGAUAUGUUAGAUGAUGUUUUUGGCAUCUUUGAUGAUAGUGGAAUUCAAGACUUCGGUCACUCAAAUAUACCAAAUGAUGACCAGCCUAGGGGUGAUGGAAAUAAAGUCCAACAAGAAAAAAUAAAAGAGCAAUUAGGUGAUGGAAAUGAAGAAUUGUACCCUGUUUGUAAAAAAUAUAGUAAAAUAUCAUUCCUUGUUCUUUUGUAUCAUAUAAAAGUCUAUUAUAGUGCACAAACAAAACUUUUUCUAUGAUCAUUGAUCUUUUAAAUGAUGCUUUUCCCCAUGCAAAACUCCCAACAUCUUUAUACGAGGCAAAAAAGUUGAUUAAGAAGGUAGGUUUAAGCUAUGAAAAGAUUCAUGCAUGUCCGAACAAUUGCAUGUUAUAUUGGGGUUCCUUGGAAGACAAGAAGAUAGAUAAUUGCAAGAUUUGCAAUGCAUCUAGGUGGAAAUCUAAUGGAAACAUUAGUGGUGCAAAUGAUAUAGUGGUUGGCCAAAAUAAAAAACUACAUACCAGCAAAGGUCUUACGAUACUUCCACUUAUACCAAUAUUGCAAAGACUAUACAUGUGUUCUAAAACUGUAGAGCUUUUGAAAUGGCAUCCUAAAAAGGCAAAGCCGGAUGGGUUGGUAAGACAUCCGAGAGAUAGUAAAGCAUGAAAGGAGUUUGACAAAAUGUAUCCGGACUUUGGUUUAGAUUCUCGUAAUAUACGGCUUGCAUUAGCUAGAGAUGGUUUCAAUCCAUUUGGAACUUUAAGUUCUAAUAAUAGCAUUUGGCUUGUGAUGUUGUAUACUUACAAUUAUCCUCCAUGGUACUGUACGAAGCAAACUUCUCUCAUAAUGUCGACGAUAAUUCCUGGUCCUAAGAUGCCUAACAAUAGUAUUGAUGUUUACUUGCAGCCCUUGGUUUCAGAGUUACAAAAAUUGUGGAAAGGAGUGGAAGCUUAUGAUUCCUCUACAAAAGAAUCAUUUCAAAUGAGUGUUGCAUUUUUUUGUACUAUUAGUGACUUCCAAAGGUCUAGAUGGCUAAAGUUUGAUACAGUGUCUAAAUGUGUGUUGCAUCACUUGCUUGUCCAUCAUGUAAUUUUGAUACAGAGUCUAAAUGGCUAAAGUUUGGCGGAAAAUAUUGUUUUAUUGGACAUCGUCGAUAUUUACCACUUGAUCAUAAGUAUAGUAUCAAUAAAUCAUCCUUUGAUGGUUCUAUUGAGCUUAGACCUGCCCCUAUCCGCCUUCAGGUUCAAAUUGUUGCGAGAUAUAGAAUCGGGUUGUAUAAGGACCCGUGAUGAGGUUAAGAGUGAAAACAACCCACCACAAUGGAAGAAAAAGGGUAUAUUUUGGGAUCUACCUUAUUGGAAACAUCUUCUUAUUCGUCAUUGCCUUUAUAUGAUGCACAUAGAGAAAAAUGUUGGUGAGAAUGUAUUAGUCACAAUACUUAAUGACAAAAGUAGAACAAAAGAUAAUCUUAAAGCUCGUAAAGAAUUACAUGCAAUGGAAAUUAGAGAGAAGCUUCAUCCAUAUCCGAAUCCCUCUAAGUUUCCUCCAUCAUGCUUUAAAAGGAAAAAUCAAGAGAAAGAUAUCUUUCUAAAAAUUCUUAAAAGUGUGGUAUUUCCGGAUAGUUUCUCAUCAAACAUUUCUAGAUGUGUUGAUUUAAAGAAACGCAAGAUCUCUGGACUAAAGAGCCAUGAUACACAUAUUCUGAUGGAACAUAUUUUUCCAAUUGCCUUUAGAAGAUCUCUUCCUAAAGAAGUUACUUCAGUGUUGAUUGAGCUAUGUAACUACUUUAGAGAAUUAUCAAGCAAAGUUUUAAAUGUUAAAUAUUUAGAGAAACUCCAACAACGAAUUUCUAUGACCCUUUGUCAUAUGGAAAUGAUAUUUCUUCCAUUCUUUUUCACUAUCAUGUUUCAUUUGGUCAUUCAUCUUGGGGAGGAAGCAAUGAUUGCUAGCCCUGUACAUUAUAGAUGGAUGUAUCCUAUUGAAAGGUAAAUUUUUACUUUACAUGCUUAGUUAUUUAUUUUAUUAGGACUUGAAUGUUGAUUCAUUUUCUUUUUGUUCUAGGACUCUUGGCCAUUUAAAAUCAUAUGUCUGUAACAAGGUUGCACCCGAAGGUUGUAUAGCUGAAGGGUAUAUUAUGGAAGAAUGUCUAACUUUUUGUUCGAGAUAUUUUCUGAAUGGUGACAUUGAAACAAGGUUUAAUCGACCAAGACGCAAUGACGAAGAUAUUGGGGUCAAUGUUUUUAGUGAAUCUACUAUCUUUUCGAAUAUAUUUCCUACAUUGGGAAAAUCUAUUGGUGUAUGCAAGUUUUUUUCGUUAGAACCCAUUGAGAAGCUACAAGCUCAUCAUUAUGUGUUAACUAAUUGUCAAUUGGUUUAUACAUUCGCGAGUAAGUUAUAUGUUCUUAUUAAUAGUUUAUUUUCAUACUAUAAUGCAUUUCAAUAUCAAAUAUGUGAUAACUAUUAACUUCCUCAUACAGAAAGUGUAAAACUGAGGUCAUGGCCAAAGAAACUCCACAAAAGUUAUGGAAGAAUAUAUACAUAAGCAUUUCCACGAGGGGUUUAAAGAAAAUGUAAGAAUAUAUAUAUAUAUAUAUAUAUAUAUAAUUUCACCUAACUUUUGUUUAUGCUCAAAAGCUCAUGAGUGUAUGUAGUUGUCCUUACCUUUCAACAAAAUAAUAGGUUGCGAGAAAGGAAGAUCCAGAUAUUACAAGUGAAAUUGAAUGUCUUGCAAAAGGGCCAAAUAAUAUUUCUCGAAGAUUUGAUGGGUAUAAUAUCCAUGGAUUUAAAUUUCGAACAAAGAGGAAGGAGCAAGGAUUGAGAACACAAAAUAGUGGUAUUGUUAUGUCUGCUGUAACUAAGAGAUUUUCAAGUGGUAAGGAACCUAUUGAAAUAUCAAGUGAUGUUAUGUACUACGGGAAAUUGGUUGACAUAGAGUUAGACUACUAUGGUAAGUUAAGGGUUGUGCUAUUCAAAUGUGAUUGGGUAGACACUACACUUAACAAGGGAAUCAAAAUUGAUAAAUUUGGGAUAACAAGUGUAAACUUUUCAUGUUUAAUACACACCGGUGCAAAUGAAGCAGAUUAACCAUUCAUCCUUGCAACUGAUGCUAGAAUGGUAUAUUAUAUUGAUGAUCCAGUUGAUCAAGGUUGGUGUUGUGUUUGCCACAUGAAGCCUAGAGACAUCUAUGAUAUGGGUGAUCUGAACUUUGAGGACUUAGAAGAGUCAUCAAUGGAAGACAUAUCUUUUUGUGAGCAACAUUUGGAGAACAUCGAAGAAUUACAAUUAGUGCAGGAAGGUGUAAAUGAACAAGAACAAGAAAAACAUGGAUCAAAUAAUGAUGAAGAUUGUGAUAAUUUUAGUGAUGAUGAAGAAGGAAGAAUGUUAGAGUAGUUUAAUAUCCUAUAUUAUGUACUUGACAAUAUAAAAUAGACUUUUUUUACAAUUUGUGCCACACUUUUUGCAUUAUAUCUUUAAUAAUUCAUGUUAUGAUUCAUUUAGUAUAUAUUUUGUUUCUUGUUAUAGUUUUUUUGUUAGCAAAUUGUGCAGGUAAUUGGUUCAAUAUGAAGAGUACGAAUUCAAGACAAGUAAUACUAGAAAAGCUAAGAGGACAAAAAGGUGAAAACAAUAGCGAAAAUACCCAAAAUAUACAACAACAAACUAGUGACAAUCAAGAGGGUGUUGAACAUGCA